This 982-nucleotide unclassified non-coding RNA is filed under the name Pogonomyrmex barbatus (red harvester ant). RNAcentral's name for it is "magnesium-dependent phosphatase 1-like, transcript variant X1". Lineage: Eukaryota; Metazoa; Arthropoda; Insecta; Hymenoptera; Formicidae. The record is from RNAcentral.
AAUUAGGGUACAGUCCAUUGUUACGGUGAUGUUACCAAUGUUUCGAAGCAUUUUUUGAUUGGUCAAUUUAUAAAAUUCUUCAUUCUGAUUGGUUAAUCAAACACUUCGAAACUUUUGUAGCGCUAAGUGGACUAUAGCCUUAGUCAAAGUAGUGAUGUAUUUGUUGGACAAUGAAAGGAAUUAUGGGUUAUGUUUACUCUUAUCUACUCUUACAAUGUCUUAAUUAUUUAAGAAAAAGAUAAUUAGAUGGUAUUUCGUUUUUGAAUAAUUUUGCCCAAUGAAUUAUAAUUCAAGUGGAGACCAAAUGGCGAAAAAGCCGAAAGUUAUUGUCUUUGAUUUAGACUAUACUUUAUGGCCAUUUUGGGUUGACACUCAUGUAGAUCCACCGUUUAAAAAAAGAGCGCAAAAUAAAAUAGUAGAUGCGCAUGGUCGUACUGUACGCUACUACACUGACGUACCUGAUGUAUUGAAACAGUUAUCAGAGGAAGGAUAUGAGCUUGCUGUAGCAUCACGCACGUCAGAAAUAAAGGGAGCAAAACAAUUGCUAGAUCUUUUUGGCUGGAAGAGAUAUUUCAAAUAUUUUGAAAUAUUUCCUGGUAGCAAAGUUACACAUUUCUCUAACAUUCAAAAGAGUUCUCAAAUUGAUUACAAAGAUAUGCUGUUUUUCGAUGAUGAGACUAGAAAUAUCACGGAAAUUGGUAAACUUGGGGUACAUGCUAUAUUAGUUAGAAAUGGUGUGAGUCAUCAUGUUGUGGAAGAUGCUCUGCGAUCGUUUAGCAAACAAUAAUGACUUAGUUCUAGGUGUCUUGUAAUUUCGCCGCGAGCCUUCUAAACCGUACAUAUGCCUGAUGCUGUACAGAAAUUUCUUUUCGUUGGAUUGCCAAUUGUGCGAACAUACUGAGGUACAAAAAAAGACUAUAGUACAGACGAGCAUAAUGACUGAGACGAUGUCUCCUUCUUAAUAAAGAGUGCAGAUGCUGCA